CAAAGAGUAGUUUAAGUUGAAAAUACUGGUUUUGGGGACCAGAGAUGAAGUUUCUUUCUUUUUGA
RNAcentral lists this transfer RNA (65 nucleotides) under Xenopeltis hainanensis. Its description in RNAcentral is "tRNA-Pro". It matches the Rfam family "tRNA". From Rfam's summary of the family: Transfer RNA (tRNA) molecules are approximately 80 nucleotides in length. Their secondary structure includes four short double-helical elements and three loops (D, anti-codon, and T loops). Further hydrogen bonds mediate the characteristic L-shaped molecular structure. tRNAs have two regions of fundamental functional importance: the anti-codon, which is responsible for specific mRNA codon recognition, and the 3' end, to which the tRNAs corresponding amino acid is attached (by aminoacyl-tRNA synthetases). tRNAs cope with the degeneracy of the genetic code in two manners: having more than one tRNA (with a specific anti-codon) for a particular amino acid; and 'wobble' base-pairing, i.e. permitting non-standard base-pairing at the 3rd anti-codon position. Lineage: Eukaryota; Metazoa; Chordata; Lepidosauria; Squamata; Xenopeltidae. The record is from RNAcentral.